UGUGGGAUCUGCUGGUGAGAGAGC
RNAcentral lists this non-coding RNA (24 nucleotides) under Mus musculus (house mouse). Lineage: Eukaryota; Metazoa; Chordata; Mammalia; Rodentia; Muridae. The record is from RNAcentral.